Molecule: ribosomal RNA, 460 nt
Filed under: uncultured bacterium
Lineage: Bacteria
Description: partial 16S ribosomal RNA
Rfam family: Bacterial small subunit ribosomal RNA
Source: RNAcentral
CCUACGGGGGACAGCAGUGAGGAAUAUUGGUCAAUGGACGAGAGUCUGAACCAGCCAAGUAGCGUGAAGGAUGACUGCCCUAUGGGUUGUAAACUUCUUUUAUAUGGGAAUAAAAUGUUCCACGUGUGGGAUUUUGUAUGUACCAUAUGAAUAAGGAUCGGCUAACUCCGUGCCAGCAGCCGCGGUAAUACGGAGGAUCCGAGCGUUAUCCGGAUUUAUUGGGUUUAAAGGGAGCGUAGGUGGAUUGUUAAGUCAGUUGUGAAAGUUUGCGGCUCAACCGUAAAAUUGCAGUUGAAACUGGCAGUCUGGAGUACAGUAGAGGUGGGCGGAAUUCGUGGUGUAGCGGUGAAAUGCUUAGAUAUCACGAAGAACUCCGAUUGCGAAGGCAGCUCACUGGACUGCAACUGACACUGAGGCUCGAAAGUGUGGGUAUCAAACAGGAUUAGAUACCCCUGUAGUC